Molecule: ribosomal RNA, 270 nt
Filed under: uncultured bacterium
Lineage: Bacteria
Description: partial 16S ribosomal RNA
Rfam family: Bacterial small subunit ribosomal RNA
Source: RNAcentral
CCCCGUGCAUGAGUGGCGGACGGGUGAGUAACGCGUGGGCAACCUGCCCUGUACAGGGGGACAACACUUAGAAAUAGGUGCUAAUACCGCAUAACGGGGGGAGCCGCAUGGCACCCCCCUGAAAACUCCGGUGGUACAGGAUGGGCCCGCGUCUGAUUAGCUGGUUGGCAGGGUAACGGCCUACCAAGGCGACGAUGCGUAGGGGUUCUGAGAGGAAGGUCCCCCACACUGGUACUGAGACACGGACCAGACUCCUACGGAAGGCAGCAG